This is a long non-coding RNA of Manis pentadactyla (Chinese pangolin), 1007 nucleotides long. RefSeq lists it as uncharacterized. Lineage: Eukaryota; Metazoa; Chordata; Mammalia; Pholidota; Manidae. The transcript has 2 exons. The record is from RefSeq and is a predicted model, not a curated record.
AGGAAGCUGAGGCUUGGAGACCUUAGCAGCUUGCCAAGGGCACACAGCAGGAACUGGCACCCAGCCUGUGCUUGCCCAGUACUGUGUGUGGUGUGCAAACCUGGCAGGGAGCCUCCGCUCUUUAAGAGAGCAAUGCUCAGCUCAGGCUCAGAGUCACAGAGAAAGAAGCCACCUCUCCCACCGCCACUGCUGGUGUCACAGCAAAGAAGCAGGAAGGAAUCCGGGGAACUGUUAGAGGAAAACAUCCCCUUCUUAACCAGGGCUGAUGGCCAGAAGCUGUGUGAAAACUGCAUCCCACCAACGCAGAACCCAACACACAUCCAGGACCCAAGCUGUGAGCAAGUCUAGGAAAUAGUUUUACUCGUGUGACUUUGCAGAGAGAAGGAGGGCGCUGGGGGCUGAGAGGGCAACAUGAACCCUGUACAGCUGGGUAUAAAAUUCUAGAUUAUGUGAAUUUUUUUUUCCUGAGAAUUUUGAAGGCAUUGUUCCAUUAGCUUCUAAUUUCUGGUUUCAUUGUUGAAAAGCCCUAACACCUUUCAAAUUCCUUAAUAAACACACUCUUUUAAUCUCCCUGUUGGAAGCUCCGAGGUCUGCUCUUCUGGCGUUCUAAGUCGGGAUGAUGACAGAUGUCAGUGUGGGUUGUUUUUCUUUCAUGCACUGGGCGCACAGUGUGCCCUUUCCAUGUGAACCCUGACCUGUGCUAUGGACUGAAAUUUGUGUCACUUCUCAAAUCAAAUGGUGAAACCUUGCCACCAGUGUGAUGGGACUAGGAGGUGGGGCCUUUGGGAGGUGCUUAGGCCGUGACAGUGGAGCCCCCAUGAACAGGAUUAGGGCCCUUAUGAAAGACCUCAGGGAGCCCCUUCACACCUCUGCGACGUGGGGCAGUGUGAAGACAUGUUGGUGGACUGGAAGCGGCGCUCACCAGAUGCUGAAUCUGCCGAUGCGUCCUGACCUUGGACCUCUCAGGCUCCAGAACUGUAACAAAUAAAUGUCUGUUGUUUACAAGC